GUGGAAGGGUGGGGAGAUGGAAGGAUGGGAGGAUAGAGGGGUAGAUGAGAAGUAUUCCCAUCUACUCCAUUGAAAACCUCUAUGAAAACCUCAGAAAGAUGCUUCCUGGGCUGGUGGAGAACAAGGUGUGCUUUAGGCUCAAAGAAGUUGUCCACAAAUUGAACACCAAGCCGGUGGAGGGCAUUAUCUCUAUUCGGCAUGCUAAUCUCUGGCCUGAAAAUUGCAGUUAAAGUCUAGGCUUUCCAACAAGGGAUCGGCCUCUGCUGAGCUGAACCAUUUCCUGCUGUUCAAUCCACUCCCUGCCCAGCUUCUGAGGGCUCACAAAAGGAUGUCCCAUGUUCUGGAAAAUGACAUGACCAGAGCAGCAUUCUCUCUGAGGAAACUGCUCCCCCUCCUUUUCCACUAGGCAUGUGUUAUAUCCUGUGUUCCUCACCAAAUAAAGUUACUCU
Non-coding RNA from Equus caballus (horse), 449 nucleotides. NCBI's taxonomy places the organism in Eukaryota, Metazoa, Chordata, Mammalia, Perissodactyla, Equidae. The record is from RefSeq and is a predicted model, not a curated record.